Molecule: ribosomal RNA, 446 nt
Filed under: uncultured bacterium
Lineage: Bacteria
Description: SSU rRNA
Rfam family: Bacterial small subunit ribosomal RNA
Source: RNAcentral
AGAACGAACGCUGGCGGCAGGCUUAACACAUACAAGUCGAACGCUCGUAGCAAUACGGGAGUGGCAGACGGGUGAGUAACGCGUGGGAACAUACCCUCCGGUUCGGAAUAGCUCAGGGAAACUUGGAUUAAUACCGGAUACGGCUGAGAGGCGAAAGAUUUAUCGCCGGAGGAUUGGCCCGCGUUCGAUUAGCUUGUUGGUGAGGUAACGGCUCACCAAGGCGAUGAUCGAUAGCUGGUCUGAGAGGAUGAUCAGCCACAUUGGGACUGAGACACGGCCCAAACUCCUACGGGAGGCAGCAGUGGGAAUAUUGGACAAUGGGCGCAAGCCUGAUCCAGCCAUGCCGCGUGAGUGAUGACGGCCUUAGGGUUGUAAAGCUCUUUCGCUCGGGACGAUAAUGACGGUACCGAGAUAAGAAGCCCGGCUAACUUCGCGCCAGCAGCCGC